Molecule: non-coding RNA, 82 nt
Organism: Ixodes scapularis (black-legged tick)
Lineage: Eukaryota; Metazoa; Arthropoda; Arachnida; Ixodida; Ixodidae
Source: Rfam
GCAGUCGUGGCCGAGUGGUUAAGGCGAUGGACUCGAAAUCCAUUGGGGUUUCCCCGCACAGGUUCGAAUCCUGUCGGCUGCG